RNAcentral lists this ribosomal RNA (484 nucleotides) under uncultured bacterium. RNAcentral describes it as "partial 16S ribosomal RNA". It matches the Rfam family "Bacterial small subunit ribosomal RNA", at positions 30 to 507 of the family's 1533-position model. The record is from RNAcentral.
AUUGAACGCUGGCGGCAGGCCUAACACAUGCAAGUCGAGCGGAUGAAGGGAGCUUGCUCCUGGAUUCAGCGGCGGACGGGUGAGUAAUGCCUAGGAAUCUGCCUGGUAGUGGGGGAUAACGUCCGGAAACGGGCGCUAAUACCGCAUACGUCCUGAGGGAGAAAGUGGGGGAUCUUCGGACCUCACGCUAUCAGAUGAGCCUAGGUCGGAUUAGCUAGUUGGUGGGGUAAAGGCCUACCAAGGCGACGAUCCGUAACUGGUCUGAGAGGAUGAUCAGUCACACUGGAACUGAGACACGGUCCAGACUCCUACGGGAGGCAGCAGUGCGGAAUAUUGGACAAGGGGCGAAAGCCUGAUCCAGCCAUGCCGCGUGUGUGAAGAAGGUCUUCGGAUUGUAAAGCACUUUAAGUUGGGAGGAAGGGCAGUAAGUUAAUACCUUGCUGUUUUGACGUUACCAACAGAAUAAGCACCGGCUAACUUCGUG